UACGGGGGGAGCAAGCGUUGUUCGGAUUUACUGGGCGUAAAGGGCGCGUAGGCGGCGCGACAAGUCACUUGUGAAAUCUCCGGGCUUAACCCGGAGCGGCCAAGUGAUACUGUAGUGCUAGAGUGCGGAAGGGGCUACUGGAAUUCUCGGUGUAGCGGUGAAAUGCGUAGAUAUCGAGAGGAACACCUGCGGCGAAGGCGGGUUGCUGGGCUGAUACUGACGCUGAUGCGCGAAAGCCAGGGGAGCGAACGGG
RNAcentral lists this ribosomal RNA (253 nucleotides) under uncultured bacterium. Its description in RNAcentral is "partial 16S ribosomal RNA". It matches the Rfam family "Bacterial small subunit ribosomal RNA", at positions 524 to 776 of the family's 1533-position model. The record is from RNAcentral.